Molecule: unclassified non-coding RNA, 1649 nt
Filed under: Eurytemora carolleeae
Lineage: Eukaryota; Metazoa; Arthropoda; Copepoda; Calanoida; Temoridae
Description: cytochrome P450 3A24
Source: RNAcentral
GCUAGUCAAUAAUUUCAGAUUACACGGUUACACCUAUAUAAUGUUUUUGUGGCUUCUAGCCGGAUUUUUUCUUCUUUUGUGGAUUUAUUUAAGAAGAAACUAUGGAAAACUUGAAAAGUGUGGUAUGCCUGUUAUACCUCCUUUCCUGUGUUUUGGGAGUGGACCAUGGGCAAUGCAUAAAUAUCAACUAGCAGAGUUGGACAAGGAGAGAGUUGCCAAGUAUGGAAAAGUGUUUGGAGCAUAUAUUUUAAGCCAGCCUAUGGUGUAUUUAGCAGACGCUGAUCUUAUCAAGCAAAUUACUACAAAGGAUUUUGAAAGCUUUCAUGGGCAUCUUUUCAAAUUUGGAGACCAAAAGUUUCGAACCCUGGAUAUGGCAGAUGGGGAGGAAUGGAAAGAAUUGAGAAAAGGUAUGUCACCCAUCUUCACAUCUGGAAAGAUUAAAGGCAUGUUGCAGUAUGUGAACUGUACAUUGGAUAACAUGAUGGAGCACCUGGAGAAGAGAGUUAAAGAAGACCCUGUAAUAGACCUGAAACCUGUGUUCCAAAAGAUGACCAUGGAUGUGAUUGGAAAAUGUGCAUUUGGAAUUGAAAUCAACUGUUUCGAAGGAAACACUGAUCUGCUGCGGCUAGGAAAUGGAGUCUUUGAUGGAUUCAAAGUCAAAAAUGUGAUGGAUGCUUUCUUCAUGAAUAUCUUUUUGGGAUUAUCCGGCAUAGAAAACUAUCUAGAUAUGGUUCCUCCAGAAAUGAAAGAAUUGUAUAAAAUAUUCAAAAAUAUUGAGACUGAGAGAAAAGUACCGAAUGGGGAUUUUAUUGAUAAAAUGGCAGAGAUGAAAAAGCAAGUUCAGAAUGGGGAAUUAAAACAUCUAAGUGAAGAUCAAAUAACAAGUCAAUCCAUAAUUUUUCUUAUUGCUGGAUAUGAAACUAUAGCAAGUACUCUUGGAGCGUUGUGCUAUCAACUCGUGAAAAACACUGAGGUUCUUGAUAAGCUGGUUGCUGAGAUUGAUGAAGUUCUGGAGAAGUUUAAUGGAAAGCUGGAUCAUGAAACUGUUGCUGAGAUGCCAUACCUGGAGGCCUGUAUUAAGGAAACACUCAGGUUUUUUCCUCCAGUAUCAAGAAAUGACAGACUUUGCAACAAAGACUUUGAAUACAAGGGUAUAAAAAUACCAAAGAACAUGUAUUGGAGAGAGAUUUGCUAUGAUUGAGAUGAAAAUGGGAACUGUUCGACUUCUUUCCAAAUAUAUGAUAGAAAUAGACUCUAAAACCAGGUAUCACGUUGACAAAGGAGAGGUUUUCAUGGCUCUCUACACUGACAUGUUCCUCAAAUUAACAGAACGUUGAUUUCCUCAUAAAUGGAACUUUGAUUUUAAACAUGAUUUGUUCUUCACAAUUAGUUUUAAAAUCAAAAUUAUUCAUGACUUCUAUAUGGUUAGUCACAAAGUCCGAGACUUCUGAUCAUUCAGAGACACCUGUACAACAUGUUUUAAGUCGGGAUUAAAUGAUAAACCCUUUGAUUACGCACUUGGGUUUUUCAUUGAAUCCCUCAAGGGAUUAAAUUUCCAUUGGUUCUAAUUUGUGUGAGAGUAAAAAAUACAUUUCUUUGCCAACUUAUAAAAUUGUUAUUAAUAAACUUUAAUAAAGGCUAAAAACCAA